RNAcentral lists this ribosomal RNA (500 nucleotides) under uncultured bacterium. RNAcentral describes it as "partial 16S ribosomal RNA". It matches the Rfam family "Bacterial small subunit ribosomal RNA", at positions 30 to 523 of the family's 1533-position model. The record is from RNAcentral.
AUUGAACGCUGGCGGAAUGCUUUACACAUGCAAGUCGAACGGCAGCACGGGGGCAACCCUGGUGGCGAGUGGCGAACGGGUGAGUAAUGUAUCGGAACGUGCCCAGUCGUGGGGGAUAACGUAGUGAAAAUUACGCUAAUACCGCAUACGAUCUAUGGAUGAAAGCGGGGGAUCGCAAGACCUCGCGCGAUUGGAGCGGCCGAUAUCAGAUGAGGUAGUUGGUGGGGUAAAGGCUCACCAAGCCGACGAUCGGUAGCUGGUCUGAGAGGACGACCAGCCACACUGGAACUGAGACACGGUCCAGACUCCUACGGGAGGCAGCAGUGGGGAAUUUUGGACAAUGGGCGAAAGCCUGAUCCAGCCAUUCCGCGUGCAGGAUGAAGGCCUUCGGGUUGUAAACUGCUUUUGUACGGAACGAAACGGCGAGCUCUAAUACAGAUUGCUAAUGACGGUACCGUAAGAAUAAGCACCGGCUAACUACGUGCCAGCAGCCGCCGUAA